Molecule: small RNA, 126 nt
Filed under: Marmota monax (woodchuck)
Lineage: Eukaryota; Metazoa; Chordata; Mammalia; Rodentia; Sciuridae
Source: RNAcentral
GCUGGGUGCAGUGGCUUACUCCUGUAAUCCCAGUGACUCAGGAGGCUGAGGCAGGAGGAUCGUGAGCUCAAAGCCAGCCUCAGCAAAAAGCGAUAUGCUAAGCAACUCAGUGAGACCCUGUCUCUA